CCUACGGGUGGCAGCAGUGAGGAAUAUUGGUCAAUGGGCGGAAGCCUGAACCAGCCAAGUCGCGUGAGGGAAUAAGGCCCUACGGGUCGUAAACCUCUUUUGCCGGGGAGCAAGGGCGGGGACGUGUCCCGGCCCGGAGAGUACCCGGAGAAAAAGCAUCGGCUAACUCCGUGCCAGCAGCCGCGGUAAUACGGAGGAUCCGAGCGUUAUCCGGAUUUAUUGGGUUUAAAGGGAGCGUAGAUGGGUUGUUAAGUCAGUUGUGAAAGUUUGCGGCUCAACCGUAAAAUUGCAAUUGAUACUGGCAGUCUUGAGUACAGUUGAGGUAGGCGGAAUUCGUGGUGUAGCGGUGAAAUGCUUAGAUAUCACGAAGAACUCCGAUUGCGAAGGCAGCUUACUAAACUGCCACUGACAUUGAUGCUCGAAAGUGUGGGUAUCAAACAGGAUUAGAUACCCCAGUAGUC
This 461-nucleotide ribosomal RNA is filed under the name uncultured bacterium. RNAcentral describes it as "partial 16S ribosomal RNA". It matches the Rfam family "Bacterial small subunit ribosomal RNA", at positions 338 to 795 of the family's 1533-position model. The record is from RNAcentral.